This 782-nucleotide long non-coding RNA is filed under the name Phoenix dactylifera (date palm). Its description in RNAcentral is "long non-coding RNA (PDAC_LNC000062)". Lineage: Eukaryota; Viridiplantae; Streptophyta; Magnoliopsida; Arecales; Arecaceae. The record is from RNAcentral.
UUGAGAGCCCUGAAACCUGAGUCCCAUGCAGGGCCGAAUCGAUCCAACGUAACUUUUUAACUGUUGAUGGGCAAAUACAUUUUUUACCUUGGCUAUUUUAUAUUUUCUUUCUAAACGAGGAAAAAUGAAUUACCACUGUGUUUUUUAAUAUAUAUUUCUUGAAUGCAACAGUUGGACCUUUUAAAUUUGUUUGACAAUUUCCAUCUAUUUUUUUGCGGGGAAGGAAAAGGAGGAGAGAACACCAUCAUUACGUGUGCUGGAACAAAGCUUCCAACGCAUCAUCUUGGGCGCUCGGUACAAUAAGGGAGAAGGCUAAUCUCCCAUCCCAUCAACCCUUCCCAUGAAUGAAGCUCCGCAGCUGGCUAGAAAGAAAGUUAUUUAUAUUCAAUAAAUUCUUUUCAAAAAUAUGGUGGCGAUGCUACCCUCUAUGUGCAAAAGUAGAGUAAGGUGCAAUUUGAUCAAGUCCCAUUAGCUACCAUUUGAUAAUUUUGUGAUAUUUUAUGGAACAAAAAGCUAUGUGGAACAUCGGAAACAGAAAAAGCCACUUUUCCCAUGGCUGAAUUGUGGUAAUUUUUUUCCAUAAAAAUACCUUUAAAUCAUCACAAUCUUCUUAGUAGCUAUUUUUAAUUGUUAAUCUUAAACUAUUAAAAUAUAUUAUUAAAAAUUAGCAUAAUAUAAAGAAGUUAUCUAACUAUUAACUAAAAAACUCAACCCAAUAAUAUUUUUAAUAGCUAUUUUAAAAUAUUUAGAAAUAUUAAUGAAUAUUUUUAUAUUUAAAAAUA